Molecule: ribosomal RNA, 249 nt
Filed under: uncultured bacterium
Lineage: Bacteria
Description: partial 16S ribosomal RNA
Rfam family: Bacterial small subunit ribosomal RNA
Source: RNAcentral
CACGCCCUAAACGAUGUCAACUGGUUGUUGGGUCUUUGCUGACUCAGUAACGAAGCUAACGCGUGAAGUUGACCGCCUGGGGAGUACGGCCGCAAGGUUGAAACUCAAAGGAAUAGACGGGGACCCGCACAAGCGGUGGAGCAUGUGGUUUAAUUCGACGAUACACGAAGAACCUUACCUGGACUUGACAUAGUAAGAACUUUCUAGAGAUAGAUUGGUGUCUGCUUGCAGAAACUUAUAUACAGGUGC